This 77-nucleotide transfer RNA is filed under the name Flavobacteriales bacterium. RNAcentral describes it as "tRNA-Arg". It matches the Rfam family "tRNA". Rfam says of the family: Transfer RNA (tRNA) molecules are approximately 80 nucleotides in length. Their secondary structure includes four short double-helical elements and three loops (D, anti-codon, and T loops). Further hydrogen bonds mediate the characteristic L-shaped molecular structure. tRNAs have two regions of fundamental functional importance: the anti-codon, which is responsible for specific mRNA codon recognition, and the 3' end, to which the tRNAs corresponding amino acid is attached (by aminoacyl-tRNA synthetases). tRNAs cope with the degeneracy of the genetic code in two manners: having more than one tRNA (with a specific anti-codon) for a particular amino acid; and 'wobble' base-pairing, i.e. permitting non-standard base-pairing at the 3rd anti-codon position. The record is from RNAcentral. Lineage: Bacteria; Pseudomonadati; Bacteroidota; Flavobacteriia; Flavobacteriales.
AGCCCAGUAGUUCAACUGGACAGAAUGCCGGAUUUCGGCUCCGGAGGUUGAGGGUUCGAAUCCUUCCUGGGCUACAA